RNAcentral lists this transfer RNA (73 nucleotides) under Bos taurus (domestic cattle). It matches the Rfam family "tRNA". Rfam says of the family: Transfer RNA (tRNA) molecules are approximately 80 nucleotides in length. Their secondary structure includes four short double-helical elements and three loops (D, anti-codon, and T loops). RNAcentral also lists the same sequence under 2 other names. Lineage: Eukaryota; Metazoa; Chordata; Mammalia; Artiodactyla; Bovidae. The record is from Rfam by way of RNAcentral.
UCCCUAGUGGUCCAGUGGCUAGGACUCCGCACUUUCAGUGCCCAAGGUCUGGGUUCAACCCCUGGUUGGGGAA